GUAGAGAUUGAAGGCCAGCAGACCUCAGACUCAUUUAAAAUACUUAGCUAAGCAAUAACUGAUCAUAAGCAGUCACUUCACAGGUGACAUUUUAAAUAAUCUGUCAUUUACUUUGUCAUUGGUUUGCUUUUGUUUCAGAAAACGUUCCAAAUUUUUCCUUAUGGAAUAAAAACACCCAGGUCAAUGUGAUUCUUGUCCAGUUAUUCAGCCUUGUCUCUCACCACUUACCACACUCUGCCCUUUGCUCUAGCCCCAUAGUGGGCAGAGUGGAACUCUGCGGGGCUCUUCCUCACCUCAGGGUCUUUGUCUUGGCCUCUUCCCUCUAUCUGGCAAGCUUUUCCUUGUCCUUCAGGUCUCAAUCUGUAUAUCUCCUCCACCAGAAAGCCUACAAUACUGACACAAAACUGAGAUAUAGAUGUCUCUUCUGUGUGUUCCAAUUGUGCCCUGUUAUAUUCCUGUCAGAGUGUCUAUAACUCUAUAUGGACAUUGGCUGCUUCUCUGUUUUUUUUAGGUUAUAGCAUAUUUGUUAUGUUUGAUUGUUGAGAGGUAGACCAUACCAUAUUCAUCUUGUAAUUCCAGUACUGGUUCUAGUAUCUUAAAAUAUGGCUGUUGAGUAUAUGAAUGAAGAAUGGAAAAAGCUCUGAUAUUUAACCACAAUUAUAAUUAAUGCCUGGUGUAAAUAGAAGCACAUUCUAUUUAAUAUUAAUUUUGUAUUGUAAUGGUACAUACAUAAUUCUCAUUCUUAUUAACUCUGAUAAAGUUCUCAACUUUUUAGUUUUUAAACUCACUGUUAGUUAACAGAAAUGUUUUAUGUAAAGAACAUAAUUCUUUUUCUUUUCAGCUGUUUCUGUGUUGGACAUUUGCUCCCAUCUACCUUCUUCUCUAGGGUCCACUGAUGAGCCACAUCUAAUGAAGAGAAUAUCUAAACCAAAAAGUUUAAGGAAAAAGUUUAUGAUUUAAAAGAUUAUCAAACUUUAUUACUGGGCUAUUUACACGAUGUUUUAAUUGUUUCUCUUAAAAUAUAUAACAUCACAGUCUUUACUAAAGUAGAAUAUUUUUGUAUCAUAUGUAUGAUGAAAAUUUAUUUGGUCUUUUAAAUGAUGUUAUUUAGACUCUUUAAUUUUUAAGUGGCUCUUGUAAAGGAAAACUAGUGUUACUGAAUUUACAUAUCAAAUUGCCCAAGUGUCAGCUGUUUAAACAGCCAAACAAGCAAAUCAUCAUUGGUAGUUUAGUAGAGAUCAUUGAUGGCUUAUCUGCAAUUUGCAUGUUAUUGUUAUUAGUGUAUGCAGUAGGAGACUUAAGGAGUAGCUACCCAUUUUUCAUGUGUAUAUUACUAUUUCCUUUAUUUAAUUUAAUCAAUUUAUUUAUUUAUGAGGUAGAGUUUUGCUCCUCAUCCACGCUGGAGAACAAUGAUGCGGUCUCAGCUCACUGCAACCUCUGCCUCCUGGGUUCAGGUGUUCUCCUGCCUCAGCUUUCUAAGUAGCUGGGAUUGCAGUUGCCUGCCACCACACCCAGCUAAUUUUUGAUAGAGAUGGGGUUUCAGCAUGUUGGUCCAGCUGGUCUUGAACUCCUGACCUCAGGUGAUCUACCUGCCUUGGCCUGGCAAAGUGCUGGGAUUACAGGUGUGAGCCACUGCAUCUGACCACUAAUGUUACUAUUUCCUUUUUGCAGUUCAGCAGUUAUUUUGUGAGAAGAUACGUUGAGGCUUUGUAACUAUCUUGUUACCCCUCAAAACCUACUAGAUUUAGCAUUUCAUUGGUGAUUUGUGUUUGAACAAUUAUUACUAUGAUGGUUGCCAAAAGAUUACUUUCUGAUUCUCUUUUUUGUUCCACAUGGAAAAAUAAAACCAAUAAAUAAGGGAGAAGGAAAAGCUCAUGAUUUUGGUGCUCAGAUGCCCCAAGAUUAGGCCAGUGGUAGACAUUUCAAGCUGACUUUAUGUCUUUUUAAUUUGGCCCUUUUACUCUGUGAGUACUUUUUUACUUUCUGGCACAUGAUGUUACAUGCUAAUCUUGUAUUUUCUCUCCCCCAGCCCUGGAGUGAGUAAUUUUUCUUAGAAGCAGAGGUGGAGCCACCAAGGAAUCGCAAGACAAGCCCUCCCAGCACACAUUCACUGGUCUCCAACAGAAAGAACCACUGCCGCAUGCACUGAGGUUCCUGUUGUGAUGGGUUGUGUCACACAUGAUGUCAUCCUUGCUGAGCCCUCCAUUGUCUGUGUUGUGAAGCAGUUAGAGACGUACAACAGUGUCUGUCAGUGGCUCUGCCUGCAGGACUGUUUUCUUCAUGAGAGAUCAUCCCCAGAACUGCCCAUGACAACUCCAUCAGGGCUCUGACACCAGGCUUAGUCCAACUCCAUGGUAAUCAAGAUGAAGGUCCAGAGUCAAACCCCCAGCAUGGUGCCUGCAUCUGACCACCCUUGGUGGGUAGUGACCAGCUCAACAUGGAAGAAGCCAGGGAAGCAUGCAGCCAGCUGCCCUGCAGCCCCAGGGGCUCCUAGGCCUUGGGAAGUCAUUCUCAAAGAAGAAACUGGCCACUUAGAGGUCCCGGAAUGGAAGCGUGAACAUAGCAUCCCUACAACCCUGGUAGCCAGCAGCAGGCCAUACAUCUUCCCACCCAACCUGUAGGACAGAAGUUCCCUCCUAGGGCACAAGUUCUGUACCUUAAGGGUGCUGGCCCAGUUGGGCUUCAUACUGAGCCCGGGGAAAGGAGGGGAACCAUUGCAAGCCCACCAAGCAGCAGCCAGGAUUACCACACAUGGGAUUCAGCCUUCUGCGGCCCUGGCCAAACUUUUUGCCCCAAGAGAACAAGCUCACUCAAAGUGGUGUGUCAGUACUGAGGGCCUGUGCAUGCCAGGCAAGGUGCAGCUGGCUCAAAGAGCAAUCAUCCACCUCUGCAAGGGUAUGCCAGGAGCAAGUGGGCCAGCCACCAACCUCACCCACUCAAGGAGGCAGGGAUGGUUAGGUUCCCACAGCCUGAGUGGCUGCCACCUGACAGCUUAUGGAGUGGAGACCUGCGAAAAAGCACAUGGUACUCGGCUCUACCUUUAGGGCAGAAUAACUUGUUUACCCUGACUGGCAGCAAGUGAGGUUGGUGGCUGGUCCACUGGUUCCUGGCACAUGCUUGCAGAGGUGACUGGUUGCUCUUUGACCCAGCUUGGCCUUGCCCAGCAUGCACAGACCUUAGUACAACAAUUGCCACAAAUGGAGUCACAUUGAGGAAAUGAGCAGCAAGGUCGGGAGCAGGGUAUGUGCUGCCUUUGCGGUUCCAGUCCAUGCAUCAGGGCUCGUAUGGGACUGAGGGCCUUUUGGGUGCCAAGAGGCAGAUCACAGGCCAUCUUGAGGAGGACUUUAUGUUUAAGUGCAGAAAGGACCCAAUCUGGUGAAUGAACCACGUGGCAAGUUUCUACAUGAGGGCACAGUGCCACAUCUUCUGCCACUUUAUGAUGUGUCUUAUUAGCACUGAAGAGACAGCUUGGAGACAGGACAAGAGGAGGGCUGACAAGGAUGAGAUGGUGAGUUCCAGCUUCUUUCUGACCCUGAGCUCACCCCCAGGUAGUGGUUCUCAUCCUUUAGGAGUAGGAGAGCAAGACUGAUGGCUUUGAGUGCUUCACCAAGAAGGUGGACAACAGGGCACUCAGCUCAACUUCAUAGCCAGUGAGUUGGUGACAGGCUUUAAGAUGGUGGUGACAGGCUUUAAGAAGAAGGAUCAGAAGGUGGCCAGUUAUUCUUCAGCCUCAGCCAGCUCUUGGAGCUGGAACGGGCUCCCACUUCACCAGAGAUGCCUGCAACACUGUCGGAGAGCUCUUUGCCAAUCAGCUGAGGCAGAACCUGGAUCCACUCAUGGACAUGUUAGUGCUGCUCAGGGCCACCAGACCAACAUCCUGGACAUCAUCCACACACACAGGGAAGCUCUUUCCAGUGACACGGUGAGCAGGCAACAUGUGGCGGAAAGGAUGACAUCAGGAUCACAGGAAUAGGAUUUCUUUGGCCACUUUGAUUGAAAUUCAACACUUCCAUCCAAUUUGAGUGAGAGACUUAAAAUCACAGAUGCAGCAUUUCUUGCAACAAGAGAUACUAUUUUUUAAAAUGUCACCUAGGAAUUGAUAGUGUUGAAUGACUAGAUACUUGAUUGUGGACUUUUUCUAGUUUAAGGACACCUUCUACAGCAGAAUAAUAACACCAUCAGAGAGCUAGUGCCAGCUAUCAGUGGUAGUACAGUGAUGGCUUUGUGCUCAGCUGGAACCAAGCUGAAUAUAGAAUUGUGUAGGAAACAGUUCAUAUGGUGAUAGAAUAGAAACAGUACCAAACGAACUAAAUCAUCCUACGAAUGCCUACACGACCAUUCGUAUUGGAAUAAUAGUAAUAUUGGAAUAUUGGAAGAAUAGUAAUAGCAUUUAUUUUAUUGCUUUUUGAAGUAUAAAUAGUUUAGUGUAUGUGCUGUAGACCUCAAACCCUGUAAAUAGUCUCGAAGCAGCUGGCUGGAUAAAGCCUGCUGUGGAUGUCUUUAUACGGACACAAGAACAGAAAAUGAAACACCGCAUAUUCUCACUCAUAGGCGGGUGAUGAAAAAUGAGAACACAUGGACACAGAAAGGGGAGUACUAAAC
Molecule: long non-coding RNA, 4602 nt
Organism: Callithrix jacchus (white-tufted-ear marmoset)
Lineage: Eukaryota; Metazoa; Chordata; Mammalia; Primates; Cebidae
Source: RefSeq, a predicted model, not a curated record